AGGAUGAACGCUGGCGGUCUGCUUAACACAUGCAAGUCGAACGGAGUACCUCGGUACUUAGUGGCGGACGGGUGAGUAACGCGUGAGAAUCUGCCCUUAGGUCGGGGACAACCAUUGGAAACGAUGGCUAAUACCGGAUAAGCCGAGAGGUAAAAGAUUAAUUGCCUAGGGAAGAGCUCGCGUCUGAUUAGCUAGUUGGUGAGGUAAAGGCUCACCAAGGCAUCGAUCAGUAGCUGGUCUGAGAGGAUGAUCAGCCACACUGGGACUGAGACACGGCCCAGACUCCUACGGGAGGCAGCAGUGGGGAAUUUUCCGCAAUGGGCGAAAGCCUGACGGAGCAAGACCGCGUGAGGGAGGAAGGCUCUUGGGUUGUAAACCUCUUUCUUGGGGAAGAACAAAAUGACGGUACCCAAGGAAUCAGCAUCGGCUAACUCCGUGCCAGCAGCCGU
This 449-nucleotide ribosomal RNA is filed under the name uncultured bacterium. Its description in RNAcentral is "SSU rRNA". It matches the Rfam family "Bacterial small subunit ribosomal RNA", at positions 26 to 518 of the family's 1533-position model. The record is from RNAcentral.